UACGAGAGCCUCGAGCGUUAUCCGGAAUUAUUGGGCGUAAAGGGUGCGUAGGUUGUUUUGUUAGUCUUUUGUUAAAGCCCCAGGCUUAACCUGGGAUCCGCGAAAGAAACGGCAAAACUAGAAAGUGUGAGAGGUGAAUGGAACUCAUGGUGUAGGGGUGAAAAUCCGUUGAUAUCAUGGGGAACACCAAAAGCGAAGGCAAUUCACUGGCGCAUAUUUGACACUGAAGCACGAAAGCGUGGGUAGCGAAUGGG
Molecule: ribosomal RNA, 254 nt
Filed under: uncultured bacterium
Lineage: Bacteria
Description: partial 16S ribosomal RNA
Rfam family: Bacterial small subunit ribosomal RNA
Source: RNAcentral